AUACCACUUUCUCUCUUUGGGUAAACUAUUAGGAGGUUGUGAAGCGCUCUGUGGACACAUAUGGAAGUAGACAAGCAAAAUAUCCCCAACUUUCAACGUCCAGCUCCACAGAGAAUUGCCUAAAUCAGCUGCUUCUCUGAAAACCUGUGACUCAUCAAGACAUUUAGCAGUGAUUUCGGUCAGUUACUGAAAUGAGCUUCAGGCCCUGUGUACACAGGUGCGUGAAGAUUCAGACUAAGGCCUCCUCUCCAGCCUACGGUGAAGCCCCAACAUACAGCCUCAGCCUGUACACCUCCAGUCAUCUACGUGAUCCUUCUUCAGCCAUGGCCCCUACUAAUCCGGCCCGUAGUCUGUUGCAUGAAAUGCUAGCUGCACGCCAGGAGAAAUGCUCAAGGGGAACAAAGCUAUGUAUAAGGUGGUUGUGUGGAGGAGCAGCAGGUGAAUCAAAAGGGAGAUGCAAUAAAGGAGACAGGAACUGGAAAAAGAUAUGUACACAUAAUAGGGUGGCUGUGAAGCAAUGCAGAGAACAUGGAAGACUAGAACAAGAAACUGCAAUGAUUUCAUCUUGACAAGGUCUGGAACAGAGGAGUUAAGCCAUUGCCCACAGCUGGGCUUCACAAACAAGGGUGCUGUUUGACCUAUCAGUACUGAAAGGUUGCAGACCUUGCAGACUUUAUCAAGCAUAACUGACCCUAUACUUUAGAUAGAAAAGAAUCAAACUUCUGUAAGUAAAGUCUUAUUGACUGGUGUGGUUAUUUGCAGUCUGUUAUUUUGGGUUCAUAACCUCUCAUCAUGUCUCUUGUUUCGGACAGUGUUUCAGAUUGUCUGGAAGAAUUCAUAGCUCUCCUACUUUGGGUUUUUUUAGAAGCAACAGGACAGCUUGUGGUGCCAUGUCACAGCAGUUGCUUGCCACAGAAACCUCCUGGCUGCUCUUUUCUCUUUCUGCACAAGCUGUCACAUUAAUUGUUGCACCAUGAGAGAUCCUUCACAGCAGCAGUGGGGACCAGGACAAAUUUUAUCUCCACGUGCUAAUUUGGACAACCAUGAAAGCUGUCUUGACUUGUUACCCCGCAGCAAAAGACCCACCCUGGUCACUGCAGAAGAACUAAAUUACCACGCAGCAACAACCCCCUGCUCAAGCUUGUGGCCCACCCUAAAAAGCAGCUGAAAGCCUUCUCUUGUGCAGAGCCAGACCUCUACAGCUCCAUCACAUGGGAAAGUUGCCUGCAGCUGUCAUUUUUACGAGUUUUCCAGAUGCUUUGCAGGUCCUUUUCAAUGCCUGCAGGAUCAGUGUAAGGUGAGCAAGUUUCAGUGAGUUCCUCUGCUGCUGUCUCUGACCGUGCACGCCACAGUUUUACAAGAGGCUAUGCGCCUCUUUGGCCCACUGGAUGACUACAGCUCCCCUUUAGCAACAUCAGAGGCCUCAUCUCGGAGGGUUAGCCCACGAGAUAACAGGUGGGCAUGAAAGCAGGGUACGGCAAUUCCCUUUCUCGCUCCUUUGCUCCUGGAUUUUGCCUUUUCACCGCGAACCUGCCCCGGCACUCUCUGCUUUCAAAACAAAAGCGUGAGCGAAAGGAAUGAGGCUGGCAGGAGGAGAAGGAAAACAGUCGAUUUUUUAGCUCUGGGGGUACCCCUUCCCUUGUGUGCUCCCUCGCCACCGGUGCCAGGGAGCCCCCCAGACCCGAGAAGACCCCGGCCUGCCCCUGAGGGGCGGCCCUGCCCGGCGCAGCGCGGCCGCUAGGGGGCGCCGCCGCCCCGGCGGUGGGGCGGGAGCAGGGCCCGGGGCCGGGCCUGGUGCCGUCCCCAUGGAGCCCGGCGCUCGUCCAGGGCCCCAGCGACCAAAAGCGUCGUCGUCGUGAACGGAAAUCCGAUCCCCUUCGGGAUAAUCUUUUAUUAAAUUAAAAGAAGAACUACUCUUUUGACACAGAGCUGGAGAUUCACCUAAAUUUUGAGCGGUGCUUGGUGCAGAUCCUGAGCUUCAAGAAGAGUCCCUUUGCCCUUGCCUAGAUUUCAGGGCUGCCCAAGGGCAUUGCAGAGCUCGCACAGUGUCUGUCACGCGGAGUGUCAGGGAGACAUUUCAGCAAACUUCCAGGCACACACAGCUUUCCAGGGGCUCCAGUGCUAUCGGGUCAGGGCAGUCCCAUUGGGGCGAGUGGAGCAAAUAAUGGUCCGGACUCUGGCUUCUGUCAUGGGCUUUUUUUUUUUCUUUUUUUUUUUUGCUUAAAACUGCAUAGAUUGGAGAAGAAAACAAACAAACAAACAAAAAAAGUUGCAUCAAGGAUUGUGGGAAUGUGGACGGCGCAUGCUUUCCACAUACCUUUGUCAUUAAAUGUCUGGCAUUCACCUAUUAGUAUGUGGCUGCUUAACGAGGAAAUGGAAUACUGAAAGCACACCUUCCCCCCUCCAAAUAAAUGCAACGCUGCAAUUUUAAUUGCA
This 2436-nucleotide long non-coding RNA is filed under the name Anser cygnoides (Swan goose). RNAcentral's name for it is "lncRNA (ENSACDG00005005778.1)". Lineage: Eukaryota; Metazoa; Chordata; Aves; Anseriformes; Anatidae. The record is from RNAcentral.